AGUGAACGCUGGCGGUAGGCCUAACACAUGCAAGUCGAACGGCAGCACAGUAAGAGCUUGCUCUUACGGGUGGCGAGUGGCGGACGGGUGAGGAAUACAUCGGAAUCUACUUUUUCGUGGGGGAUAACGUAGGGAAACUUACGCUAAUACCGCAUACGACCUACGGGUGAAAGCAGGGGAUCUUCGGACCUUGCGCGAUUGAAUGAGCCGAUGUCGGAUUAGCUAGUUGGCGGGGUAAAGGCCCACCAAGGCGACGAUCCGUAGCUGGUCUGAGAGGAUGAUCAGCCACACUGGAACUGAGACACGGUCCAGACUCCUACGGGAGGCAGCAGUGGGGAAUAUUGGACAAGAGGCGCAAGCCUGAGCCAGCCAUACCGCGUGGGUGAAGAAGGCCGUCGGGUUGUAAAGACCUUUUGUUGGGAAAGAAAAGCAGCAGGUUAAUACCCCGCUGUUCUGACGGUACCCAAAGAAUAAGCACCGGCUAACUUCGUGC
Molecule: ribosomal RNA, 493 nt
Filed under: uncultured bacterium
Lineage: Bacteria
Description: partial 16S ribosomal RNA
Rfam family: Bacterial small subunit ribosomal RNA
Source: RNAcentral